GUAUUCAUCACCAACACUGGGAUAGCUGCAGCUAGGGCCACACAAUAAAAAUAGCCCAGGACGGCACUGGCUAUCCGCUGCCCCUUCAGCUAUAGAAUUCCUGUCCUUAAUCGCUUUUAGUUCUGUAACUGCUUGUGGAAACAGCUGAUUACUGGACAGGUGGGAGUACGAAAGGCGUUUAGUAAGACUGCAAAUCUGAUGUGAACUGGUAGGACGCAGAGUGUAUGGCAUAGUCAAGAAAGAAGUCAACGCCAGGCGAGGUGCUAUGGCUAAGGGAUUAAUCUUUUGUGUCCCAACUAUGUUGCUCUGACGGUUCCACUUGCACUACUGGUUUUUACUUCAUCGUUAAUCUCUGCUCUGGCCGAUAACAGCCUGCAUGAAAACAUCACCAGUUUUCAAGUUUUUCUCAGGAUGAACAGUACAUAGAAAAGUGAGCCUGAAUGCUGAGAUCCUGAGACCGUGCUGCGGCGCCUGGGAAUUCAUAGAGCAGCUUUUAAGGGGCCACCACUUCUCGCAUCGUGUGCCAUGCAAGUAAACCUACCCUAUCCUGAGACCCUUGCCUGGGGUGACUGGAAGAGCUGCUUCUGUAGAAUCCUGGGCCAGACCAUCUAUCUGGACGAAUAGGAGAAAAGCCUAGUUGUUGUCUCCUGCAAGAUGUAUUCAGUUGUAAUUUCGCCUUUGUUCCUUAAUCUGUUAGUAUGGUAUAUUACAUCGAUUAAUAUUUCAUAUUAAAUCAGUCAUGAAUUCCCAUUAUGAGCCCCACUUGCUCAUGAUUGAAGAUAUUUCUUAUAUGUUGCAGAUUGACUCUUGGUAUUAUUUGUCCAUUUUUGUACUCACCUAGCACACACAUACAAAAUUGCAGAUUUGUUAGGAUUAGAUAUCAUGCAAAACUUACUAUCUUAUGAAGUUCUUAAUACAUGUAUUGCUAUCCUUGGUUUUCCAUAAAAAAAUUUUAGAAAAAAUAAGUUAACUGCC
This 975-nucleotide long non-coding RNA is filed under the name Homo sapiens (human). RNAcentral's name for it is "non-protein coding lnc-UTY-6:1". Lineage: Eukaryota; Metazoa; Chordata; Mammalia; Primates; Hominidae. The record is from RNAcentral.